CAAAGUUAUUCAUAUUAAAAAUUAAUACUAGCUAAAGGUGAAGGUACUCGGUAGUGGAAUACUCGAAUAUUACAUAACAUAAUUAAAAGGUUUCUUUCCUUUGAUUAGGGUAAAUGUGUAAAACAGAUUGUUAUAAUCAAGCACAGAAAAAUCAAUAUGUUCCACAUUUAACACCAAGCCUUUCUACAAUUCUUUCUACUAACUCACUGCAAUGAAUGAAUUAGUUUCCCAUAAAAGGGAUAAUCUUCAGGGGGGGUUAGUAGAAUCCUAAACAACAUAUAUGAACUAAAUUCACACAUGUAAUUUUUUUAUUUUCAGUUUGUCAAGCUCGUGGAGGAUGUUGUAAUGCGCUCCCAGAAGUGGCCAACAACUGUGCAGAUCCGACGAAGCAUCCGAAGCUAACAUAUUCGUCGCCCGAUUGUUCGGAUACUGAAAUGUGUUGCAUAUUCUUAACUUAAUUCCAGUUACAGCCCAGCAGACGUCCAACAAUUGUAUACAGUAAAUACGAGUAAAGUUAGCUCACAGUUCCAUCCAUUUCUGCAAGGGGUCAUUCCAGUAGUAGAAAAUGAAUUAAAAUUUAAAAAAAUGGUGAAAAUGUUUGCUUUAUUGCAAACAUCGUCGUAAUGCAUUGGCAGUGUCCUGCCUGACUGCCUGCUCAAUUGAUUUUGGAAAGGCUUCCUGAAUUGUUACCAGUUCCAUUGACAUCUCCCUUUCGGCUGCAAUCCUCUCGGCAUCAAUGGAACGCCUCAAAUUAAAUAUCCAGCUGCAAAUCCACAAAUCAAAUGCAAUCAAUUCAAAUUUCACACUUCAAUAUUCAUUAGAAAUGUAUUUUGCAUUUUACAAUUGCAAUGUAGAUGAAACCGCCAGCCAGAGGCAAUCGCCUGACUGGCUCUCAGGCUCCCUGGCUCCCUGGCUGCCUGGCUGCCUGGAUGUCUGUGGCUACAGGAGUGAGUGCCAGCAAGGACCCAGCGUCUGAGCAUCUCAGUCCGGUAUCGUUACUCAGUUGCACAAAGCGAGCAUAAAAAAUGAAAUGGAAUGGAAUUUUCAGCAAAAUUAGCUGCCAAUUGUUUUCAAUGCACAGCGUCGACAUUCAGCUGAUAAAUUGAGAGCGAACGGAGAACGGAAAUUGUGCCAAACCAAGCAAGAAAUUUCAAAUUGCCAACAGCUGUGCGCUGCAGUGCGCUUCCUUGGGUUACCCCUGGCUCUUGCUCAGUUACUGCCACUUACAGUGCGAUACUUUAAUAGAGCCAACUAAUUUAUACAUAAUUUAUAACAAUUAAAGCGGCAAACAACCAUGCGUCGGUAUAUAUGCGGCGGAUGCGCAAUGAAAAACUAUGGCCAGCCGCAAAAUGUCAGACCAAAGGUAAACCCCAGUAUGUUUAUAUAUUUGCAUGUGUAUGUUGUAGUGCCCUGCACAUAACUUAAUUAUGCAGAAGUGUAAAUGUU
RNAcentral lists this long non-coding RNA (1446 nucleotides) under Drosophila guanche. The record is from RNAcentral. Lineage: Eukaryota; Metazoa; Arthropoda; Insecta; Diptera; Drosophilidae.